AAGGGAUUCAGUGUGCCGUUGCUGGCUCUGAGAAGUAGGAGCCUUGUGCAAGGAUUCAGGAGAGGCCUCUAGAAACUGAGGAUGGCCCUCAACUGGCAAGCACAGGCAACUGAAUUCGGCCAGGCAUCUGGGUCCUGUGCUAGGGGCUAGGAAGACAAAGAGAAACAGAGUCACAUCCUCCCACAAAAAUCCAUGAGAUGUCGGAGAGCCGAACUUGUAAACAGCCAUCAUCAACACAAAGAAGGAUGCACUGAUGCUCUCUAGAGGCUCACAGGAAAUGAUUCAUGGGCAUAGAGGAUAAGCACCAUCUUUGGAAGCACGGCCUCAAGAUGAUGACAUGGAGGGGACUCACACUUACAGGUAGGGGAGCUUCAGGUCUGCCGGCCCUCUCCUCCCUCCUUGUCACCCCUCAACCUCUGGGCUGCCCUUUGGGCUCAUAACAAUGGAUCUCAGAGCCCAAGGAGGUUGGGCUUCCACUCUGGGGGACUCUGGAAGCUCCUGGGUUAACUACUCUCAGGGCUCUGGUUUUCUCCAUGUAGAUAAAAUACUUGAUUUCUUGGAACAAUUUUUCUUUCUCAGUCUGAGGGCUCUG
RNAcentral lists this long non-coding RNA (592 nucleotides) under Homo sapiens (human). Lineage: Eukaryota; Metazoa; Chordata; Mammalia; Primates; Hominidae. The record is from RNAcentral.